UGUCCUCUAUUCCAGGUUGAUCUUGAAGUCCCUCCAGUUUCUGAGAGUGACAGAUGGCUCUCCUUGCAACUUGCCCAAGCAUUCUCUCUGCCCUGAAAUUCUUGCCUAGCCAUCUACCAAUGAGCUUUUUAUUAACAAUGAGAGCAACACAUCUUCACAGUGCACAGAAAUAUUGUUCCACAGCACCAUCUCCUUACCUUGAAAACAACUCCUUUACGAUAUUUACAUCUGCUUUUGAAAUUCUGAAAGUUGAACUAUUGUGAACUUAUUCAGGGAAGAUUUCAAUCCAGCAAAUCACAAAGAGGGAUUCUACCCUCUGUGAGAAAGAGAAACCGACGAGGAAGACUGGAGAUAAGUCUCUGAGACAGGAGAGAAGGUUCCCAAACAGCUCAUGAUCCAGGGAUGAAGGUUUACACCUGUAAUCCCAGUGUUCAUGAAGCUGAGGCCAGAGGGUUACUCCAAGUUCCCUUGAGGCCAGUCAGAGUGAGACCCUGUCUCAAGAAGUCAAACUGCAAAUUGAAAACGGUUCUGUAAACAAGCUGGCUAUUGUCAUGUUACCACUGAGCAGAAAGGCAGAGUUAGAAGAUGGAACAAUGCCAGACUUGUCCCGAGAGAGGCUGGGAAAUCUGCCACUGAGCACUGGGAUGGGCCAUGGAGCAACUUGCCAGGAGAUUAACACACCCAGGGCAGACCUGAGCUGACUCCAGCCCAGGUUCUGUAGUCCUCAUGCUGCUCAGAGUUCACUGUGUCAGGGAACUACACGAGUCUCCGUAAAGGGCAGGGAUUCAGGAGCCUGGGCUGGGGUCUGAUACUCUGUCUCUCCCCCAGGACCCCCCUGCAAUUGGAAUGCUGGCAUAGAGCCUUACAUCAUGAGCAGGAGAGGGAGAAGGGUCAUUCAGAACUCUCUCCUCUCAGUCACUCAGUCAGUAGCAAACCAACAGAGAGUCUGAGAAGGAGAAGCUUCUAAGAAAACAAUGGCUCUGAAAACAGUUUUCUUCCCAAAGUACAGUACAAAAUGCAGGGAAACGAGUCUCAUUUCAGAGAAAGGCUCGUCUUGGAACUUUGCAACCCAAAGAAGCCCCAAAUGAAAGGACACUGGGGGUCAGCUCUGGGCUUCCUUCAUUGUACAGCGGAUGCUGGGCAAUGAGGAGAAAUGCCAAGGUCCCCCCCUCAAGAGAAGCAGGUGGCCCAAGAUGGCACACUCACCUUCCAG
This is a non-coding RNA of Peromyscus maniculatus bairdii (prairie deer mouse), 1213 nucleotides long. The record is from RefSeq and is a predicted model, not a curated record. Lineage: Eukaryota; Metazoa; Chordata; Mammalia; Rodentia; Cricetidae.